UACUUGUGUUGCAGUGGGGUGAUGGCGGGUCUGUGGUGGUCAACGGUGAGCUUUAUGAGGAGGAACUCGGUAGAUGUAAUGAACUCUCCACAUUAAAGGAGCUUAAAGAUGUUACUGGUCUCCAUACUUCCAUGCUUGCUUAUGGCUUUAAAAAGAUGGCAAGAACGUCCAGAGGUAACAUCCAUGUAUUUAAGCAUCCGAACUUCUCAAUCAAAUCAGCCCAUCUUAAAAAGGAUGUCAAGAGAGAAUCUGAAGUUCCCCCCGCAAAGAGGAGAAAGGCCAGGAGCCUGUAUCAGUAUAUAAACAAUGAGUUCACACUUCCAGACAGCCAUCACUCAGAGGUGA
This is a long non-coding RNA of Rhinichthys klamathensis goyatoka, 345 nucleotides long. RefSeq lists it as uncharacterized. The record is from RefSeq and is a predicted model, not a curated record. The transcript has 3 exons. NCBI's taxonomy places the organism in Eukaryota, Metazoa, Chordata, Actinopteri, Cypriniformes, Leuciscidae.